AUAAAUUCUCAGCCUUUUGGCUAAGAUCAAGUGUAGUAAAAGAUACAUAAAUAGUUCAUUAAAAAUUUAUGUUUACUUAGGAAAUAUUUAUAUAUGUGUCUAAGCUCCAACUAUUUGGAGCAAACACU
RNAcentral lists this small nuclear RNA (128 nucleotides) under Suricata suricatta (meerkat). RNAcentral's name for it is "U2 spliceosomal RNA (ENSSSUG00005000474.1)". It matches the Rfam family "U2 spliceosomal RNA". Rfam says of the family: U2 is a small nuclear RNA (snRNA) component of the spliceosome (involved in pre-mRNA splicing). Complementary binding between U2 snRNA (in an area lying towards the 5' end but 3' to hairpin I) and the branchpoint sequence (BPS) of the intron results the bulging out of an unpaired adenosine, on the BPS, which initiates a nucleophilic attack at the intronic 5' splice site, thus starting the first of two transesterification reactions that mediate splicing. The record is from Rfam by way of RNAcentral. Lineage: Eukaryota; Metazoa; Chordata; Mammalia; Carnivora; Herpestidae.